Long non-coding RNA from Eurytemora carolleeae, 435 nucleotides. RefSeq lists it as uncharacterized. Lineage: Eukaryota; Metazoa; Arthropoda; Copepoda; Calanoida; Temoridae. The record is from RefSeq and is a predicted model, not a curated record. The transcript has 3 exons.
GAUCAAUGUCGUCUUUGAAAUUGAUAAAAUAAUUCUUAAAUCUGAUUUUUAAUUUCUAAACGGAUCAGAGACACGAAGAUUGUGGAUUCUCUUCCUCUUCCCAUUCAUUUUUACAUAAAGGGUAAUCAAUUCCUGUUUUUGACUGUUCCAAAAGCUGGAUCAACGUCAUGGCGAGGGUUUUUCAAUAAGAAUACUGAGUUUAAUGCAAGCAUAGGAGGGAAUCCAGAAUCAUUCCGUUUACCAAACCAAGAAAUUAUUCUUCAAGUUCGACAUCCUUUUGGAAAAUAUUAAUUCAAAUAUCAUUCGCCACCAUUUUUUCAAGCUGGCCCUUUGAUUAACAACAAAUUCCGAUAGCAAACACACACACAACCAUUGGAAAAAAAGUUCCUUUUAAUCACAAUUUGGUCAAAUUUUCGUUCAGAUUUUUCCAUAGCU